UCCAACUUUUGAUGCAAGAUGAUGAAACCUAAAGGGGGAAGGGACAACAAGAAUCUCCACAAUUGACUUACAAAAAACAUGCAAACGAAGCAAAAUCAACAAGAAUCGAGUCUAGGUUUCUUUCGAAUGGAUAUCGAGCCUUUUAGAUGAUCCCUAAAGAUUUUGAUCUCGGAACAAUCUCUUAGAUCUUCAAGACUAAUAUAUUGUUGUCUUACCAUUCUAGAGAAAUCACCCGCGGUGUCAUGUACCCAAAUAUAAGGAUGACAUGUUUCGUCAUAGUAAUAUAAGAAGCUCCUCGCUCCACCAGCACUAGCACCAACUUUGUCGUCGCCACCACCACCAGGGACAUAAGACUUGUAAAUCUUCUUGCUUUUCAAUCGCUUUGACGAACCAGGUUUAAGUGUGUGAACUUUCUUUAAUAUCGAACCCACUCUUAUUUGCAACUCUAUGGACCUAUCACUAAGGUUCCAAAUCCUUGUACCGAUGCCUGAAACUUGUGUAUGAUCACGACAUCCAUUGAAACACCUUGUGAUAGCCAAAAGGGUUAUGGGGGGAUUUUUGAAAUAUGUUUAGGGAUUUUGGCAUGGUAAGUGGUAGGGUACAAGAACCAUUAAAGGGUAGAGAAGAUUGAAAUUUGGCACUAAAAUAGUGGGAAAAGUGGUGUCAUUUGAAACUUUUUUAAAGCUUCAUGAUGAAGUGUUGUAU
This 705-nucleotide long non-coding RNA is filed under the name Helianthus annuus (common sunflower). RNAcentral's name for it is "hypothetical non coding rna". Lineage: Eukaryota; Viridiplantae; Streptophyta; Magnoliopsida; Asterales; Asteraceae. The record is from RNAcentral.